AUUAUUUAUGGGGGCCCCAGACAGGGGCAAGAUAGGUGGGCUGGCCCAGAAGCGGGCAGGCAGCAGCCCACUUAUACAAGAGAACAGUUGCAGCGUGCCAUCCAGCUCCUGCGGGUGGUGGUCCACCUCCUAGUGGACCACUUUUUUAAUUUGUUAUUGCGAUUAAUUUAAUUUUAUUUAAUAAAAAUUUUUGUUCUUGUA
Molecule: long non-coding RNA, 201 nt
Organism: Pseudophryne corroboree (corroboree frog)
Lineage: Eukaryota; Metazoa; Chordata; Amphibia; Anura; Myobatrachidae
Exons: 2
Source: RefSeq, a predicted model, not a curated record